UGAGAUGCUGCUCAUGAAGACAGUCUUGUA
RNAcentral lists this non-coding RNA (30 nucleotides) under Mus musculus (house mouse). Lineage: Eukaryota; Metazoa; Chordata; Mammalia; Rodentia; Muridae. The record is from RNAcentral.